Molecule: long non-coding RNA, 1570 nt
Organism: Ruditapes philippinarum (Manila clam)
Lineage: Eukaryota; Metazoa; Mollusca; Bivalvia; Venerida; Veneridae
Exons: 3
Source: RefSeq, a predicted model, not a curated record
CCACAAAAGCAGCCCCCCACUUCACAAGAGUCCCCUACUUUUAAUAUGCUUUUUCUGGACUUUAAAAGAACUUUUAUAACUAGCACCUGUGCUUCAGCUGAAGUACUAGGGACUUCAAGUGUACUUGCUUCAACUGCAGCUGUACUUCAUCUGAAGCCCCAUCCAGCUUCUAAUGAGCUUCUGAAUUUGUGAAUGUGUACUUCAGUUGAAGCACCAGGGCUUUUUAAGUGCUUCAUUUUGAUAGUAUUUUGUACUAGAGACUUAUUUGCUACUUCUCAGACUUUGACUGUUUGUUUGAAAGUUAUUUUGAUACAAAAUGUAUACUUAAGUUGUGCUUUUGAAACUUAGCAAUGUAGGACUUGUUUUGAGGGGGCUUCAAAAAUGCUUUUAAAACUUGUAUUUUUGUCAGAGUUCUCUGACUUGGAAAUUAAUUCAUAAAGUCAAUGAAAAUACAUGAAUAAAAAAAAUAAUUGUAAAUAAGUGUAAAAUCAAUAUUUUAGUUUGAUAAGGAUUUAACAUUCUACAGAUCAUGGUGGUGAAAAAUAUAUUUAUUAAAUUCCAUCAAAAAUAUAUGAUUCAUUAUGAAGUCAAUUAUACCAAUUCAGAGCCAGUUUUGACAUUAAAAAAUACUUUCUAAAAAUUAUUAUUGCACAUGAAUCAUCUAAAUAUAUUGUAAUUAACAGGUAUCAUCAGUAUCUGCUUAACAUAAAAAAAGAAGAAUUAAAAAAAAAUAUUUUUCUUCAUGAAUAUUAACAUAGUUCAAAGAUGCUCAAAGACUUAAAUUACAUGUCUGCAAUUAUUCUGCACCCUUCUGUAAAUCUACCACUGUUUUCUUCUACACAAAUAUUCUUAUCACAAACAUCUGUGAUCCCUCAAGUGGAAAUUAUGACCCCUUCCAACAGUUUUCAAAAUACCCCAUGUUAAGCUGACCUAUCUGAUACAUGAGAAUAGUGAGUGAUAAAGCAAGUUUACAAUACUCUAGCUACAUGUAACCUAAUACCCAGAACAAAUCUUCAUCCUGGCAAUUUAUACAGAAGUGUUUGAAUGUCUGGAUCUGCUUACAUUAGUUUUAAGAUAUGUUAUUAUGAGUGCAUGAGCUAGUAUAAAGUUAAAUGUGAUUAUUGUUAUUUAGUUGAAAUGAUUCCAACUAAUACAGGUUUACAACAAUUUUCGGAAACUAAAUUAACAUGUAUAAUGGGACAUCAAAUGUGUAGUUAAAGUUCCUUAGCAGUUAAAAAUGGAGGCAAAUUGAUAACCAAUUCUAUGGAAUACAUUUAUGACCAAAUUCUCCAAAAGUCAGUGAGAAGUUUGAAAAUGAAAGAAGAAAAGGAUACAAAAGAAUACAGAACUUACUUGGAUGCAGAAGAGGUAUUCCCAUCAUAUAAAAUCAAACCAGCAUUGUGCCAGUGAAUCUGUUUGGAAAAGACUGAAAGUGAAGGACAUGUAUAAAUUGAAAUUUAAUAGAUGUUACGCUCAUAAGAUGUUUUAUAGUGUUAUACCUUUAUGCAUGGAACCGUAUUUGUUAAUGUGGGUGAAAUGACUGAAUAAAUUUCUUUGAUGUAACAUUUAA